RNAcentral lists this non-coding RNA (29 nucleotides) under unclassified sequences. The record is from RNAcentral.
CUAUGACUUAAGUGUCAUGGCGGAAGGAG